CAAGCACCUCGGUAGGUGAGGCGUCUGCACGGACACAGGCCACUGACCCCGAACGUCGAGAGACGCCCCGGGUCAGGACAGCUCUUCCCGGACCCAAGGGUUGAGCCCAAGUGGCUUCUGGAAUCCAGAUACGCCGUGUAGUGCCGAAGCUCCGACGAGAGGGGUGCGCA
This 170-nucleotide small RNA is filed under the name Mycobacterium sherrisii. RNAcentral describes it as "Magnesium sequence". It matches the Rfam family "M-box riboswitch aptamer (ykoK leader)". Rfam says of the family: M-box riboswitch, also know as ykoK leader is described as a metaloregulatory RNA that sense divalent metals and function as a genetic control element of genes related to divalent metal transport in bacteria. Lineage: Bacteria; Bacillati; Actinomycetota; Actinomycetes; Mycobacteriales; Mycobacteriaceae. The record is from Rfam by way of RNAcentral.